GACGAACGCUGGCGGCGUGCUUAACACAUGCAAGUCGAACGGUGAUGCUCCAGCUUGCUGGCGUGGAUCAGUGGCGAACGGGUGAGUAACACGUGAGCAACCUGCCCCAGACUCUGGAAUAAGCGCUGGAAACGGCGUCUAAUACUGGAUACGAAACUGGCCCGCAUGGGCAUGGUUUGGAAAGUUUUUCGGUUUGGGAUGGGCUCGCGGCCUAUCAGCUUGUUGGUGAGGUAAUGGCUCACCAAGGCGACGACGGGUAGCCGGCCUGGGAGGGCGACCGGCCCCAGGGGGGUUGGGGAGGGGCCAAGGGCCCCUCGGGGGGGAGGGGGGGGGGAAUUGUCAACAUGGGGGGAAGCCGGGUGGAAGGACCGCGGGGGGGGGAGGACGGCCUUUGGGUUGGAAACCCUUUUCAGGAGGGAAGAAGGGAAAGGGAGGGAACCAAAAGAAAAAGCACCGGUUAACUACGG
RNAcentral lists this ribosomal RNA (467 nucleotides) under uncultured bacterium. Its description in RNAcentral is "partial 16S ribosomal RNA". It matches the Rfam family "Bacterial small subunit ribosomal RNA", at positions 28 to 506 of the family's 1533-position model. The record is from RNAcentral.